Molecule: long non-coding RNA, 1713 nt
Organism: Myotis brandtii (Brandt's bat)
Lineage: Eukaryota; Metazoa; Chordata; Mammalia; Chiroptera; Vespertilionidae
Exons: 2
Source: RefSeq, a predicted model, not a curated record
AACUGGCCCGGGUCACUUCAGCUCUGAGUCUGUUUGUUUGUGAAAUGGGUGGGGUCAUACCUACUGAAGAGUGGUUGGCAGAAGUGAGAUAAUGUGUAUAAAGUUGUUUAAACAUAGCAGAUGGUCAGUAAACGUAGCCAGUGAUUCUCACAGGCCAAAGGGCCGCCUCUACUGAAGUGAUCGGCCUAUUUGGUUGGACCAGGGGGGUCAGGCCGGUACGAGGGAAGGGAGCCCAGAAAGAGAAGCCUAUGAAUGUGAGGGUGUCCGGUGGACCUGCUUGGUGUGACCCUACAAAUAAAAAUGUGGAGUUGCAGAGACUUACAUGGAGCCAGUCUGGAGGGGAGCAUUUGCUGACCAGAGCCCUCCAUCAGUUAGCCUCCCUCUCCACUGCCCAGGGAAUUCCUGGGCCAGGUGGGGGCAGGUCCUUCAAAAGCUUAGGGAGGUCCUGGCAGAGAAGGCCUGAGCUCUGAGUCCUCCGGAGACCAGGGCCUCCACUACCCUUUGCCUCUACUUCUCAGGAUGCUCAUCACCACAGGAGAGACUCCCUGGGAAAGGGGUGGAGCCAGCAGGAGAGCUGAAAGGCCAGGCCAACCACAGGACUCAGGGAUGCAAAUCUCCCCCUCCCAUCAGUGUCUUAAGUUCCACCAUGGAUUCACCACAUGGGUCUCCUUAGCACCCUCUCCUAUUCCUCUCUUAAAGGGGACUCUACCACCUGCCUUCAGCCCACAGAGUCAGUUGAUGUUGGUGAAACACUUAUCAGAUCUUCCUCUGACCUGGAAGAGCCCAGAGCCCUGCUUGAGGUUAAGUCAGAGAAAUGGAGUUGAACUGGGAGAGGGUGCCUGCUGCCCUGCCAGGCGGCGGUCACCCUUGAGCUGGAAUGCUUGCAGGAUGGCGGAGCUGGAAGAGACCUCAGGGUUCUUUGGCCAAGAGAAAACCAAGAGCCCGGGGAGGGAGAGGAUUUGCCCAAAGUCACACAGCUGCUUAAGAAGCAGCUAGAGCCCGUCUCUGUUUCUCUUUACUGACUUUGAUGCUCCAUUGGUUUUCUUCCCUGAGAAGUAGAAGAGGCCUUGGGGCAGGGAGUGAAGCCAUUUCCCUCCGGGCCUCUGUUUCUUCAUCUGCUAAAUGGGAAUAACUAUACUUCCCUGCCAACACCCCCACUUGUUUAUGAAGCUUUGGUGAGUAACUACAGGGGAAAUGGCCUCCGUGGCAAAACCGUCUACCUGGUGACCACAGGACCCCAGAUUGGAGGCGACUGUGAGGGAUCUGAGGGUGGGCAGGGCAGAUGGGCCCAGAAGAUGUGUGUUCACCUUGUCAUCCUCCCCAGGUGAGUCCCAGGCCUGGGUUGCCAUGGAUACCGUGUCCCUAGAGCAUCAGAUCCAGAGCGUGCAACGCCACAUCAGCUUCCUGAAAAAAGAGCAGAUGGCCCUGCUGCGAGACCUGCACCUGGAAAUCCUGAGGCUGCAGAAACGCUGCUCAGAACUGACCCGUGACCUGGAGAUGAGAGAGGCCCAAUCUCACCAGCAAGGUAAGAGAAGGAUGACUGGUGGGGAGGUGCCAUGGGGCCCAACAGGUCACCUUUCCCCACCAAGCCUUCCAUGUCCCAGUCCAGACUGGUUGAGCACAGCGCAGGAUGUCAGCCGCACGUGUGCAGUGAGCAGCCUGCACCACCAUACACAGUGCCCUGUAUCUGUGUUCCUGGCGAAAGUAGGAAAA